Molecule: long non-coding RNA, 698 nt
Filed under: Canis lupus familiaris (dog)
Lineage: Eukaryota; Metazoa; Chordata; Mammalia; Carnivora; Canidae
Description: lncRNA (ENSCAFG00040009265.1)
Source: RNAcentral
CAAUAGGCCUGGGAUGAGGGAAAUGCUGGAAUAAAAUUGGAUUGGCUUCUAUAAAAUAAAGAGAUACGAUUUUUUUUUCUUUUUGGCACAUCUGAGCUUGUGAGCUGGCAUUCCUACCAGAUAUGGAAGGCUAACAUUUUCUGGAUUAGCAAUUGGUUUUCCUUGUCUGUUUUGAUGCUGCUCUAGGCAACUCUGAGGUCCCCUCCACACACCUGAAGAGGAAGCCCUACAGGAGAUCUAAGAAUCGUGCUGGGACUGUGAAUAUAUGGAUUAACCAAAUCCGCUGUCCCACCGAGUGAAUUCUGAUUGGUUGGUUAUGAACACAGAUGGGCCCGUUUGCUGCUCCUGCCCACCCUGGGAUGGAGGAAGGAUCCACCAUCUGUGAUACCAGUAAUCAAUGAGAUCCUCAGAUCAUUGGAUCAGAUGCCCAGGAAUGGACACAAAUACUUGAAGCAUCUCUUCUCUUCCUUCAGGACAAAUGUCACCUCUUCAGAAAGUCCUCCUCACAUCAUGGCAUCAAAGUAGGUCAUCUUAUCUAUUUUCACUUGUUUAACUCCUUAGUAGCCUUUAUAACAAACUGAAAUUAUAUUGCUUAUUUGUUUACUUGUUUGUCUUCAAGCUCCCUCCAUGAAAGCAGAUACCAUGCCCUUCUCACUCACAUUGUAUCCCUAGCACUUAGCACAGGACUCUGAAUAUAU